AGUAUUUUGACUAUACAAAGGUAUUGAAAUAAGACUUUAAUUGAGUGCUAAGAGAAUGGAAUUUCAUAAAAUUUCUUUUUUAAUUUUAAAAAUUGAAAUUAAUUUUAUAUGUGAAGAAACAGUAAUAAAAAUUAAGGACAAGAAGACCCUAAGAAUUUUAAAAAUUUCAAUAAAAUGCUGCAUUUUAUUGAAAUUUUUUAAUUGGGGCGAUUAUUAAAUAUUAAAAACUUUAAUUUUUUAAAAAAGAACCAAUAAUAUUGGUUAUUUGAAAAAAUACUCUAGGGAUAACAGCGUAAUAAUUUUUGAUAGUUCUUAUAGACAAAAUAGUUUGCGACCUCGAUGUUGGAUUAGGAUUCUUUUUUAAUGAAGAAGUUAAAAAAAGAAGUUUGUUCAACUUUUAAAAUCCUA
Molecule: ribosomal RNA, 408 nt
Filed under: Amblyomma maculatum (Gulf Coast tick)
Lineage: Eukaryota; Metazoa; Arthropoda; Arachnida; Ixodida; Ixodidae
Description: partial 16S ribosomal RNA
Source: RNAcentral